AUGAUUGGAGGCUCUGUGUUCAUAGUUUAUAUAGGUCAUCUUUAUAUCUGGGCCAUGGUCGUUGUGAUUCAAAUAUUUAUGGAAACAGAGCUUUUUAACCUACUUAGAAGAUUGAGCGAAGAGAGACAGCUGCAAGGGUCCAGGUUGCCGAAUUGGUAG
Molecule: ribosomal RNA, 159 nt
Filed under: Triticum aestivum (bread wheat)
Lineage: Eukaryota; Viridiplantae; Streptophyta; Magnoliopsida; Poales; Poaceae
Description: partial small subunit ribosomal RNA
Source: RNAcentral